CCUACGGGUGGCAGCAGUGGGGAAUAUUGCACAAUGGGGGGAACCCUGAUGCAGCGACGCCGCGUGAGUGAAGAAGUAUUUCGGUAUGUAAAGCUCUAUCAGCAGGGAAGAAAAUGACGGUACCUGACUAAGAAGCCCCGGCUAACUACGUGCCAGCAGCCGCGGUAAUACGUAGGGGGCAAGCGUUAUCCGGAUUUACUGGGUGUAAAGGGAGCGCAGACGGCUGUGCAAGUCUGGAGUGAAAGGCGGGGGCCCAACCCCCGGACUGCUCUGGAAACUGUAAAGCUGGAGUGCAGGAGAGGUAAGCGGAAUUCCUAGUGUAGCGGUGAAAUGCGUAGAUAUUAGGAGGAACACCAGUGGCGAAGGCGGCCUGCUGGACAGAAACUGACGUUGAGGCUCGAAAGCGUGGGGAGCAAACAGGAUUAGAUACCCUUGUAGUC
Molecule: ribosomal RNA, 440 nt
Filed under: uncultured bacterium
Lineage: Bacteria
Description: partial 16S ribosomal RNA
Rfam family: Bacterial small subunit ribosomal RNA
Source: RNAcentral